This is a non-coding RNA of Equus caballus (horse), 8822 nucleotides long. NCBI's taxonomy places the organism in Eukaryota, Metazoa, Chordata, Mammalia, Perissodactyla, Equidae. The record is from RefSeq and is a predicted model, not a curated record.
CGCACCCUGGGCCGCCAAGGUGGAACGUGCAAACUUAACUACUACACCACUGGGCCAGCCCCAAGGGAACCAAUUUUUGAUGUUGUGAAAGAAAUGUGUUAAUCUCCAAUGACAAUUUCUAGCUCCUGCCAGCCCACUCUGUCAGGAGGAGGCCCCAGAGCAUCAUCUUCUUUGGUAAUUUCACUGUCAUCAAUUAUUCUCUUCAGUUCCUCCAUCACACUUUUAUGUACAUAAGCCUCUUUUCAUGACAUCAUUUUUGUAAUUGCUGUUGUUGGCAUGUCUCAGUUUCCAUCAGGUUGGAACUCAAACUCCAGGAACUCAUGGCUGAACUUGCCCUUGUGACCCACGUAGUAAUGCAGAUAAAAGUCACUCUCCAUGGCUUGCAAAUAGUAACCAGAUUAAACCUAUGUUUCUUAAAUAUGGCCAGUGGUGGGUGACCAUUGUGGGUGAGCUGGCCACUUCAGGAGGAGCCCCAUUCCACUCCUGGAAGGCUUUGUCCUCUUUAAGUAUUGAAAUCUUUUGAUCGCGGUGACUGCCACCGUGGAUAUUGAUUCUGUCUUCAGAGUCACAGAACACUCUUCUUCCCUUUGACAUAUGGCAGCACUUCUCGAAACAACACGCUCGAUGCCUAGGUAAGAGUGGAGAGCAAUAUUCUAUGUGUCAGGCUGUGAUUGUCAGCAUUUAAAGCCUCCAUAAAACAUUACAGAUCAUGUUGAACUGGUAGUAUUGAGAGUUAAUUCCUUCUUUAUUUUUCUGAUAUUCUCCAACUUACAAACCUACAAGCCAUGCAUUAGUAAAGUUUUUGCAGCUGAGAGUACAACUCAAAAUUUACAAGAUGUCAAAGUCUCACUAUAGGAGCAAACAGGCCCACAAAAAGCCUAUUUUAUCUAUGAUGUUCACGAAGUAGAGCACUACGUUAUUUUGUAAUGUGGUGGCUCUCUAUACUAUGAUGUUUUCACAGAAAAAUGGAGUUGUCAUCAAAAACCUAUCUUCCACUUUUGUAGUGAUGUGAAGGUUGAAUCUUUCAUCCCAGACAUUUAUCAUUCGUUCAUUUAACAUUUAUCCACUUUCUUUAUUUAUACAGUCAUUCAUUCAUCAAACGUUCACUUAGUUUUUACUAUGUACUAGGCAUUUGGCUAGGUGCUAGUGCUAGAGAUACAGAGUUGAAUGAGAAUGCCUUUGGCCUAAAAUAGCCUGGUCAUCAAGGGUUUAAAAUAAGAGGUCAGGAGGAGGUGUCAGGAAUGGGGAUGAGAAAAAGAGUGUGACAAGAGGUCGGUAACCAGUGGUCAAAAGAAGGAAAAGUGGAAUUUGAAGUGGAAAUACUGGGGUGAUGUGAAAAUGUCUGUAUGGAGAUGUGACCCACCAAAGUUGUAUAACUGUGGCCUUGGAAGGACCAUGUUGCUCUAAAUUCUUUAUCUACCAUAAGAAAAAGCUGAGAUCCUGGAAGGACAUAGGGCAAGGCAAGGUCUCUUCGGGGUUGGAUCUCCUCAAGCCCUUCCCAAUGUUUCACUGUAAUUCCAGAUGACCUCAUCUUGUUAGAGGAAGGCAUCAGACAAUGGGGACCACUUGUUCCCUGCAGGAUUUUGUGCUUUUUUUUGUAUUUUGGUGCCACUUGUAGCAUGCUUUCUAUUUCCUAUUAUAGACAUAUAAUCUCAUAGAAUAAUAAUUUAUCCUUUCAACUGCUCAUUAGCCGUGCCAAGUUCUCUCCAUUUAAAGCUUUUGUUUUUUUUUUUUUAACUCCUAUUCUAACAACCCUUUGUGGAAAGCAUUUUAAUUUUCCAGACUAGUUGUUCACUAAAUCAGUAUGUCAAGAGUUUAAGUGCUCUAAAUGGUACCCUCUUAAUUUUUAAAAACUAAGGUGGCUUACAGAAUUUUCUGAUUUAGUUCUCAUGAAAGAUCAAGGAAAAAUGCUAGUGAAAAUUCUACACCUAAAUUCAAUGACAGACAUUUAGUUGUUUAUUUUUCACCAAAUUCCUUAAGUUUAUAGAGUUUCCUAACAAAGAAUGGUAAAAUCUACAUUACCAUGCAACCAAAAAUUUAACAGAAGAGGUUAAAUAAAACUACCUUGCUAAUCUAAUCUGUAUUAUAUCCAUUUGAGUAUCAUAUUGGGCAAAUCUUUUUUUAAAAAGUCCCCACUUUUUUUUUUCUUUAGAGAAAAUAUUGGCCUCAGAGUAUGCAGUAAGUUACUGCACCAAAGAAAAUUUCAAUCUUUUGAUUCUUGGCCUAAUUUUCUCCCUACAUUGCCAAUAUGGACAUAGGGGUUCCGUGCACAUAUUGAAGCAGAACUUAAUAAGAAGGAAAAAAGGAAAAAUAAGAAGGGAACAAGAAAAAAAUAAAAAGCAAUGCAGUAAUCUCUCCUUUGAUCAGCUCUGGAUAUAAAUAAGGGUGUGGUUAAAAAGUGAGUCAUUAUUCCAUUGCCUACUCCUUUUGUGGCAAAGACAAUGACGCUAUGGAAUAGAUGCUGUUAAAGAGGCAUUUAUAUAACUAUUAGCCUCUGAAACAAUAGACAGGCAGCAGUGUAUUGUUCUGGAAAACGUUCAAAGAGGAGGAGUCAUUUUGUCCUCUUUAAAAUUUAAUAUCUUUUUUUUCUGUAUCAUUUGGAGAAGGUUCCUUUUUCUCUUUUCUUAAGCAAAAUAAGUGUUCUGCACCAGUAGGUAGUGAGUGAAUUCUUCUUGCCAGCAGGAAGAAAAGCAAUUUUUGAAUGCCAAAUAUAGCUCUUUUGUGUGAAAAUAUCACAUAGCCAAAGACAUUUUAAAGAAGAAAGGAAAGAUACAAGUUCUGAAUUAAUAUUUUUAAAAUGUAAAAGGCAGGAGAACGUUAGCAAUAGAGCAGGAAGAAACAAGUCGUCAUAUCUACAGUCAUGGCAGCCCCGAAGUUUGAAUGUUUAUCCUUUUUGCAAUGCUCCUGGCUUCUUGGGUGGUCUCAGAAUGAUGAUUUAUCAUCUGAGGCCGUGUCUAUAGGAGGUAGGUGUUUCUAAUCAUCUUGUUUAGUUCAAGACAUUUCUUGCCUUCCUUGACCUUCGCUAUUUGUUUCUAUGCAACAUUGCCAACUAAGCAAAGCGUGAGCCACCUUGGAUAUAGAAGAUGGCUCUAGUGUUGGGGACAGACAUAGAAUAAUCUCAUGCUUGUCUUUGUCUUUAAAUUUUUAAAUCACUCUGACACCUUUGCAAGCCAUACACUCUAUAGAGUCUCUACUCAUUAUUUACAUGUGGGAGAUCAUCAGCCAGUUACACAGAGUUUUGAUAGGCAUGAUGGGCAUCUAUGUCUUUUACCCACCCGGUAUCCUUUCCUGCUUCAUUUGGUGAUUACAUAUGCUUUUUCCUUGAAGAACUAAUCAUCCUUGUCCCAUGUGAUCUUGGUGUCACCAUCAGUCCAGUGGUCUUGCCUUUCUCCCCAUUAGUGAGUAGACAUGUGACCCAAGCUUGAACAGUGAGGCACUUCUCAUGAAUUUGAAUCUUGAAUGGAAUGACAUAAAGAUGGAACAUGGUCACUGAGUCAUUUUGUAAGUGAUACCCUAAAAAGAGUCCCCAUUGAUUCAUUAAUCCUCUUACCUGGACCAUAUGAGUUGUCCUGAUUUCUUCUUCCCUAGGCCAGCCUAACCAGCUUCUUUGAUUCCAUUAGAUAACUUACAUGGUUGCAACAGAUUUGAUUUUCAAAACCAGGAUGUUUGCAAUCAAAAAAUCUGAACUACAACAAGCAGAAAUAUUUCCUCAAUAUGACUCAUAUGUUAGAAAAAUACCUAGGUGAAAAGCUUGUGGGGAGACAGUGUUCAUAUUUUCAGAAACUCAUGCAUUGGCUUAUAUCUUCCCAUUACAUUUGUCUCAGUUUUAUUCAUUUGUUCAUUUAUUCAGUUAUAUACUCUUCUAUCCACUCAUUUGUUGACUAUCUGCCAUUGUCUAGGCACUAAGGAUAUUCCCUUCAGAUAUCUGCAUGGCACACUCCCUCAUCUCUUUUAAGACUGAACAAAUAUCACCUUUGCAAUGAGACCGAUAGCCUCCUUCCCCAGUCUACAGUCCCAAUCCCCUGAUUUUUUAUAGCACUUUUCACCUUCUCAGAUACCAUAUUAUUUACUAGAGGUUUUGAUUGUUGUCAAUCCUCCUGAAGUAGAGAAUCAACUCCAAGAAAAUAGGAACUUUUGUCUGUUUUGUUCAUUUUUGUAUUCCCAGCACUCAGAAUAGUACCUGGCAUUUGUUGAAUAGACGAAUGCAUUGAAGUUUCUUUAAAAGUACAUACAUACAUUAUUAAAGGAGCUUAUUGUGGCUUUGUAAUGUAUCAACUUGGCUAUGCUGAACUACAGUCCUUAAAGUUCCCUUUCCUACAGGUUUUUGAUGAGGAUGGGCCACAAGAUAGACUCUUGUAGGAGAUUUGGAGGGUGGAAGUGAGGCAGCAGCUGUUUCGUAGCUAGGACCCGUGUGGCUUAGCUGCUGGCUCACCUCACUGGUGUGAAGCAGCAGCAGGUCCGCAGCCGCCUCAUCGUCUUACAGAUCUUCCUUUAGCUUUGUGACGCUUGGGCCAGGUGCGUGUUUUAGCUUCAUGACCAAGGGCCCCGGCUUCUUCAGGACACUCCCACCACCAAGGUCAGAGGCAAUAAGAACACACAAGUUUUAUAGCUUUAUGGGCUCAAAAUCAUGCCUGUGAAUUCCAGCUUGUCUUUGAUUUGAUCCACUUUAUGUCAGUCUCUGCUGUCCAAUUGCUUGCCUUGGACUUCAACCUUCAGUGUCAAACUGAAGACAACAGUCUUAUGGAGGCUGAUUAACCAUCUCCCAGAAUUGUAUAGGGUCAAGUUCUAUUUUCUUAAAAAAUCUAUCUUUCUACCUACCUACCUACCUAUCUAUCAUCUAUCUAUCUAUCCUAAUGUCUGAAUGUUGAAUGAACUCUAAUCCCUGACUGAUCCAAAUGCUGGUACCUAGAAAUGGGGUGCUGCCAUAACAAAAGCUAAAAUGUGAGAGUGAUUUUCAAACCAGGCCAUGUGUAGAAGUUGGAAAUGCUGUAAGAAUAUUGAGGAAGUCUUAGCGAAAGCUUUAAGUGCCUUGAAUGUAAUUCUCAUAAUGUUCAUAGAAUUUCUAAUUGUGUGGUGCCUGGCAGUGAGGGCUUAAAGGAAUGGGAGAAAAGUCUUAUUGGAAACUGGAGUAAAGGGAAGAAAUUUAACAGCACUCUUGCCUGCAAUAAUGUGAAAAGUAGAAAAUGUGCCUAAUGAACUGGAGAUCUAGCUAAGGAGAUUUCCAAGCAAAGUGUUUAGGUUCCACCUGGUUUCUUCUUGCUGCUUGAAGUAAAAUGUAAGAUGAGAGCGAAACUCAGGGAAGGACUGUUAAACAAAAAUAAAUCAGAAUAUGAUGUUUUGAAAGCUCUCAGACUCUUCAGAUGGUCCAGGAUGCUAAAAAAAAAAAAAAAAAAAAAGGCUCUGUGCAAAGAUCAAAUCCAGAGCAAUGCCAGGAAAACAUUAUGUGAAGAAAGAUAAAGUCCAGGGUGUGGCCAUAGAAUUUUUUUAUUAAGAUCUCAAAAAGAUCUAAGGUGGUGCCUCAGAGAACCUUCAGUCAGACUAAAGGCCCUUGAAAGAGAUUAAGAGCACAUCUGCCACAGAGGGUCUCUCAGUCAAAUAAUAGAGCUUGUAGGAAGUUUCAAGGCAUUGUCCCUCAGUCAUCUCAGCAGAAGCCCAAGGUAGACAGCAGUUUAUCCAGAAGAAGAUUGUGGGUGUGGCUUUUGUGUAUUGGGUUUGACCCCAGGAAGUUUCAUAUGGGACUCACAAAGUUCUCAAAAGAGAUACAUGCAGAAACAUCACCAACUAGGACUGAGGGGGAUUGAGACAGUAUAGAAUAAGCAGAGAUUGGCCUUCGAAUGUCCAGAAUUUUAACACUUGCUACCUUUUGUGAAAAUGGAAAGAUAACUCAGAGAGGAGCCAGGAGCCCAGAGGGCAGAGUUGGGAGACAUGAAGAAUUAUUUCUGAUAUGAGGCCUAAGUAAGGCCCUUCCAACAUUUACCUACCUGAAUUUCAGAGUUGUGGUGGACCAGUAAUCCCCCUGUGUCUCCCACCCCCAACCUUGAACAUAGCUAUCUAUAAUGAGUAUUCUAUGCCUGUCCUGCCAUUGUAUGUUGGAUGUGUGUGGGGGAGGGGGGGGAGAUAAUUUGUCUGUUUCAUUUCACAGGUUUACAAGGAACUGUUUUGAGGAGUUGUGCUUGAGGAAUUACACAUGAGGAACCUCUUCCAUCCUUGAACGUGAUUUAGAUGAUGAGAUUCUGGGCUUUGAGCUGAUAUUGUAGUAUGACGAGAAUUUUGAGGUCUUUGGGGGCAACAAGUAUAUUUUGCAUUUGAGAGGAAUGUGAAUCAUUGGGGGCCAGAAGAUGGAUUACAGGUAGUCUCCAAGGUGGCCCCCCAGUGAUCCUUGCCUCCCAGUAUUCACACUUUUGUAUAAUCUCUUCCUGUAAGGUGCGGUCUGAGCUUAUUGACUCAUUCUAACAAGCAGAAUACAGCAGAAGUGAUAGGAUGUCCAUUCAGAGAUGAGAUUAUAAAAGACUGUUGUUUCCAUCUGGGAGGUGCUCUCACUCUCUUUGAAUGGCCCACUCUGGGAGAAGCCAGCUGCCAUGUCGUGAGACAGCCCUGUGGGCCACUGUCAUAAGGAGGCCUGGAAGAGUGAAGAAAGGUCUGAUUGAUCAUAAGGUCCUAUCGAAUGUCAAAGCUGGCCCUGGCUGACCUCCCAUCUAUUCAGAGCCGCUUUGAUUUAAUCUCCAAACUGGCUGCUUCUCCAGGCUGUGACUUCUAUCUGCAACCCAUGUGUCAGCAUUGAGAUACGACCUGCUUCACGCUCCAUUCAUCUCAUUUGAAGGACGGAAAUUAAACUGGAGGGUCGAAGAGGGGAACUGCUCAAAAUACACACACAUUAACUGAAGCCUUUUGUGUGGGUGCAUUAUAGGAGUCUGAACAACCAUUAAAAAUGAUAUGAAAAUGAAAUUGAUCUCUACUCCACUGAAACGGCUUAGAACUUUGCCUCCCUCCACCUCCCCCUUCAUCUAGUCUUCUUUCUUCCCUCCCCGGUUUGUAGUAAUCAUAUGCACCUCAUCUCAUUAUGGUUCAAAGUAAAAGGAGAGAAAAAUUUACAGUUUUUCAGUUUCUUUUAAAGGUGUCCUUUAGAAAAUUCACUUAUUGCCUGCAUUUGCACAGAUAAUAUUUGAAAAAAAUGGAGAUACAAAAAGCUGGUGACCAGACUAACAGAAAUGUUGACUGCUUUCUUUAGCAUUAUGGAUUCAUUGAAGUUUCACCCUUCAAGGUUUUUAAAAAAAAUGCAAUUAAAACUCAAACUUUGGGAAUAGUCCUAUAACCAUCAGGACACCUUGCUACAGUAUAAAUCUAUAUAUCCUCGGUUCCAUUUUUUAUUUCUAAACUCCCCUUUGUUCUUUUCAUUGGCCCUUUUACACUAUUAAUUAAGGUUAGUAACUAAGUGAAAGCUUGAUUACUUAUAGAUUUGUUUGUUAUAAUAAGCAGAAAAGCAAACUCUAUUUCAUUUACUUAGAGGGGUCCCCUAACUAUAAGAAUAAGAUCAUUAUAUUUUAAGCGUGUUGGGAAGGUUAACUAUAUUUAUUUCUGUGUUUAUUCAUUUGCUCAUCCAUUCAUGCAUUUGUUAUUUGAGCUCUGUACUACGAUGAUAUCCAGGUAAGAACAUUUUUUUUAUUUUUUAUUUAAAAAGUAUAUUAUAUACUUCCUGUUAUAAUGGAUGUACAUAUUCAAUAUCGAAAAACCAAUCAGCAAAGACAGGUGAGGAGAGAGAAUGAGAGAGAGAUACAGAGACAGAGACAGGGAGAGAGACAGAGAGAGACAAAAUAGCAAACACCAAAAAUACUAUUGACCAGAAUAACCAACAUUAAUACUUCAGUCUUUAUCUUUCCUAGCGGUUUUUUUGGUAUAUGCACACUUUUUAUUCCUCUUAUAUGAAGUUAUACUGUUCCUGCUUGGGAUAAAACUAUAUUUUCAGUUAUUCUAAUCAUCCUCUUUUAUGUCUAUAUAAUAUCACUUUGUAUGGAAGUGAUUGUCUUAUUUUGUUAAUAUUGCAUCGAUGACCAUUCAGAUCUUCUAAAUUUUUCACUACUAUAAAUGUUAUCAUGUAAAAACAUUUUUAUGCCUCCAUGAUUUCUUCCAAAAUUCUCUAAUUUUGGAAAAAGGAUGUGCCCAAUUUAAUAUUUGUAGUCAAAAGUAUUUUCUGCUGUGGUUUUUCAUUUAAAUACUCAUUUGGAAAAAAGUUUCCUUCCUAAAUAAUCAUUUGUGUUUUCUUUCACACAUAGUGUUUAUUUGUUUUAUAUUUAAUAUAUAUGCAAGGGAAUACGUACUACAGUGAAUAUCAAUGCCAUUUCUACAUAAACCACUUCACAGGACUUAUGGGAAAGCUUUCAAACUCUGGUUAUAUAGCGAGAAAGGUUUUGAGCAUCUGAGGCAUUCAAAGAAUGCCACUUAGGCAUUUAGUUUUGCAAGUAGGGAAGCAGGAAAAGACAAGAAGAUUGGAUCCUUUUUGUAAUGCUUCUCACUAAAAUUUGUUUUCCAGCAUAUCCUUAUGUAAAUAUCUUGUUACUCAAGGCAGAACGUGUUGAAAAAGAUGCAUUUUGAAAGUUAAUCCAUUGCCAAGUGGAAGUGGGUUCAUUGCAUUCAUGUAGUACUUUGCAACAGAAAUUUUUGCAAUGAUGGAAAUAUUCCAUAUCUCUGUUGUUCACUAUAGUGGCCACUGUAAUGUGGCUGUUGAACAUGUAAAAUGUGUCUAGUGUGACUGUGGAACUGAAUAAUUAAUUUAUGUAAUUUAAAUUUAAAUCAAUUAGCCACUUGUGGCCAGUGGCUAUCUUAUU